This 450-nucleotide ribosomal RNA is filed under the name uncultured Glomeromycotina. RNAcentral describes it as "SSU rRNA". It matches the Rfam family "Eukaryotic small subunit ribosomal RNA", at positions 569 to 1026 of the family's 1831-position model. Lineage: Eukaryota; Fungi; Glomeromycota. The record is from RNAcentral.
AGCAGCCGCGGUAAUUCCAGCUCCAAUAGCGUAUAUUAAAGUUGUUGCAGUUAAAAGCUCGUAGUUGAAUUUCGGGAUCAAUUUAUUGGUCGUGCAAUAGUACGUACUGGUAUUAUUGGUUCCUACCUUCUGAUGAACCAUGAUGUCAUUAAUUUGGUGUUAUGGGGAAUCAGGACUGUUACUUUGAAAAAUUAGAGUGUUUAAAGCAGGCUCACGCUUGAAUACAUUAGCAUGGAAUAAUGAAAUAGGACGUUUGAUUCUAUUUUGUUGGUUUCUAGGAUCGACGUAAUGAUUAAUAGGGAUAGUUGGGGGCAUUAGUAUUCAAUUGUCAGAGGUGAAAUUCUUGGAUUUAUUGAAGACUAACUACUGCGAAAGCAUUUGCCAAGGAUGUUCUCAUUAAUCAAGAACGAAAGUUAGGGGAUCGAAGACGAUCAGAUACCGUCGUAGUCU